CAAGAGGUGAAGAAGAGCAAACGCCGACGGACGCGCGAAGCAACAAAUUGCGAGAUUUGAGCGACUUCAGUGAGAGCUCGAGGGCGGCGCAGGUGCGAGUGCGUUCGUCGUGGUUCUGGGACCUGGGUUCUCUGAGUUAGGGAUGUCGUUGAGGAGGAGAAUCGAGAAAUGGGUGGUGCGACGGCGGCGGUUCUGAGUUUGAUGCCGUCGAGGUCGAGGAGGAGAAGACGAGUGACAUAGAGUAUGUGGGUGGGAGGAGACGAGAGAGAGUCG
This 273-nucleotide long non-coding RNA is filed under the name Malus domestica (apple). RNAcentral's name for it is "long non-coding RNA (MDOM_LNC004256)". The record is from RNAcentral. Lineage: Eukaryota; Viridiplantae; Streptophyta; Magnoliopsida; Rosales; Rosaceae.